Molecule: RNA transcript, 3575 nt
Organism: Panicum virgatum (switchgrass)
Lineage: Eukaryota; Viridiplantae; Streptophyta; Magnoliopsida; Poales; Poaceae
Gene name: D-alanine--D-alanine ligase-like
Exons: 15
Source: RefSeq, a predicted model, not a curated record
GUUGCCGUCGCCACGCCUCGCCGUCGGAGUCGGAGUCGCUGCUCCGCUCCGCGCCGUGCUGUCCGCCGACCAGCGGGACCUCGGCAUGGAGGCGGGAGAGCAGGGGAGGCCGCUCCGGGUCGGCAUCGUCUGCGGCGGGCCCUCCGCCGAGAGGGGCGUCUCCCUCAACUCGCCACGCUCCGUGCUGGAUCACAUUCAGGGCGAGGAUUUGGUCGUCAGCUGCUACUACAUCGACUCUGCCAUGAACGCCUUCGCCAUAUCGCCGGCGCAGAUAAAGGAAUAUUGAACAAUAUCCCGGCCUCUAUAUCAAAGAGUUAUAUCCGCCCCUUAUUACAAACUUAGAGAGAUAAACAGGAAGCAAAUUACAAGCCACAAAGCCUAUUACUAAACUGCCACCCGUUUCGUGCAAAGAUGUCCAUCGCCGUCACUUCCAAAGCGCGACAUGCAUCUGCAAUCAAGACUCUGUCCUCCUCCUUUUGCAAAAUCGCCAAUGUCCUGGUAAGAUAAGUGGCCCUGAAAAGGAUCCGAAGAACAAUUUAUUUUUGAGUAUUAUGAAAAACUACAUCAUUUCUGGAUAACCAGAUUGACCAGAGAAGCGCACAUAAGCUCGUAAACAUAACUUUUUUCUUUUCCCACAUAAAACCCUUCAGCCACGACCCGAAUAAAUGCACAAUAUUAUAAGGUUUUGUAAGACCGAAGGUGAUGAAAAUUAUCCUCCAAAGUAACCUAGCCAUAUGACACCCGAAGAAGAGAUGCACAAUAGUUUCGUUAUUCAUGCAAAAACAACAUUGUUUGCUCCCCUUCCAAUUACGCGUGGCUAAAUUAUCCUUUGUCAGGAUAACACCACGGUGGAGUAGCCAAAUAAAAACUUUUACUUUCAAAGGAAUUUUCAGUUUCCAUACGGGCUUGUUUAUGGGUAAAACUCGAACAUCUAAUAGAGCUGAGUACAUAGAACGAACUGAAAAUUGGCCACUUUUGUGAAGUUGCCAGAUUCCGAUAUCCUUAUUAUCUCCCAGCCGGAUAUUAGCAACGCGAUGUCCUAAAUCCAUCCAGUCUCUCAGAUUAACUCCCGUAAGGUGUCUCCUAAACGAGACAUUCAAAGGGUCUCCAUUAAGCACUGUAUGAACGGUAACAUGUUUGCGAUGAACCAAAUUGAACAAAUUGGGAUAUUGAUCUUUAAGGGCCGAGUUUCCCAGCCACUUGUCUUCUCAAAAUCUGGUUUGUUUCCCAUUAUGUACCUUAAAUGUCAUCCAUUUAAGAAAAUCUUGUUUUACUGACAUAAGUCCUGACCAAAACUGUGAAUCACCAGGUUUUUUCUCAACCUGAGUGAGGGUUUUGGAUUUAAGGUAUUUAUUCCUGAGUAUCUGUUGCCAAAUGUCAUCUUCAUUAGUAAGUUUGAACAACCAUUUACUUAAAAGGCAUUUGUUUUGGACGUUUAAAUCCAUAAUUCCUAGUCCACCUUGUUCUUUUGGUCUACAUAAUAUCCCAUUUAGAUAAUCUAUAUUUUUUUUGUGACCAUCCCCUUGCCAGAAGAAUCUAGAUCUAUAAAAAUUUAGUUUUUUGAGAACUUCUUUAGGGAUUUCAAAGAAAGAAAGCAUAUAGACAGAUAGGUUGCUUAAAACCGAGUUUAUGAGAAUAAGCCUGCCUCCAUAGGAGAGCAGUUUGCCUUUCCAUAUACUCAGUUUACGUUCAAACCUGUCUUCUAUGAUCUAUGAGUUCCUAAUAGCAAUGCCAAACAUGCAUCUCAAUUUUGCCUUUCCAGAGCAAUGCACUGGCUGCCAAAUAUAUGUGCCGCUUCUUGUUGGCCUAUUUUUUAUAGCCCCACCCCCAGGCUGCUGCUUGGUUUUUCUAUACACACCUGACCUGACCCCCUGUUUGAGGCAUCAGGCUCUGCUCAGCUCCAUUGCUUCAACACGCUUGCCUCAACUUUUGUUAGCUUUACAAACUUCCUAUGAUUAUGAAUCAAUCAUCAGCUCAAACUUCCUGGGAUUCCAAUGAAUAUAUACAACAACAACAACAACAACAUAAUCUUUUUUCCCAAGCAAAUUGGGGUAGGCUAGAGAUGAAACCCGAAAGAAAUAAGUUCAAGGUUCAGGCACAUUGAUAGCUAGUCUCCAAGCGCUCCUAUCCAAAGCUAUCUCUUUAGAGAUAUUCCAAUCCUUAAGGUCUCUCUUAACCGACUCAUCCCACGUCAGUUUAGGUCUACCUCUAUCCCUCUUUACAUUAUCGACCCGCUCAAGAACCCCAUUACGCACCGGCGCCUCAGGAGGCCUUCAUUGGACAUGUCCAAACCAUCUCAGCCGAUGCUGGCUAUAUUCCAACACACCUUCAGAUUUUGAUUUCAAACAUGAAAGUCUAGCCCAAGGAUUUCAAUCCCUAUCUGACUUUGCGGAGCAUCUUGCCACUAAUGUUGACAUUGCCUUCCCAGUGAUCCAUGGCAAAUUUGGUGAAGAUGGUGGCAUUCAGGAGCUCUUGGAGAAAGCAAAGGUUCCAUUUGUUGGGACGCCCUCUAAGGAAUGUCAGCAUGCUUUUGACAAGCAUAGUGCAUCACUCGAGCUUGAUACACAAGGUUUCCUAACAGUGCCAAACCUUCUUGUGGAGAAGGACAAGUUGGCUAAGCCAGAGUUGGAGGCAUGGUUCCAAACCAUCAAUUUGAGCAAAGAAAAUGGCAAAGUGAUUGUCAAACCUGCGAGGGCUGGGUCAAGCAUUGGUUUGGUUGUUGCUUAUGGUGUGAAUGACGCUGCUCAGAAAGCUGAGGAAAUAAUUUCAGAGGGAAUUGAUAAUAAAGUUAUCAUAGAGGUUUUCCUUGAAGGGGGCACUGAAUUUACAGCCAUUGUGGUUGAUGUUGGGAUUGCUAACAAUAUUGAGCCUGUUGUUCUGCUUCCAACAGAAGUUGAGCUACAGCACUCCAGCAGUAGUGAUACCGAGGAUACAAUAUUUAACUACCGCAGGAAGUACCUUCCGACUCGACAGGUUGUUUAUCAUACACCUCCACGUUUUCCGGUAGAGGUGAUUGAUUGCAUAAGACAAGGACUUUCUCUUUUAUUUCGACGCCUUGGCCUGCAUGACUUUGCAAGGAUAGAUGGUUGGUUUUUACCUUCUCCUGUUAGUUCCUUACCCUCAGUUGAAAAUAGUGAAAAUUUUGGAAAUACCAAGUAUGGCACUGUUCUUUUUACGGAUAUUAAUUUGAUAAGUGGGAUGGAGCAAACCAGCUUUUUAUUCCAACAAGCUUCAGCGGUUGGAUUCUCUCACUCUAGAAUCCUUCGUACGGUUAUUCAGCACGCUUGCUCUCGAUUCCCUUCUCUUGUUCCAUGCAAUAAUGCAUGGACUGCUUUGUCCAGAAAAUUACAAUCAUCAAAACAAGCAGAAGCAAUCCACAAAGGUACAUCCAAACAGAAGGUUUUUGUGAUCUUCGGAGGAGACACUUCAGAACGGCAAGUAUCACUUAUGAGUGGCACCAAUGUCUGGCUUAAUUUGCAAAGCUUUGAUGAUCUUGAUGUGACUCCAUGUUUGCUUGCACCUGCAAAUGGAUAUUUCUCCUCCCAUGACCAAGAUUUCAGUGUCAUUUCACCAGA